ACAGUGAGGGGUCGCUGUCUGCCCAUGGAAAGAGGCCAGUUUGCAGUAACCUUCCUGAGGUAUUACCCAUUUCUGGCUAAUUCCACGAGAUUUACUUGUAUGAAAAAAGGAAGAGCUCUUCAUUUUACUGACAUGGGGAGGAAACCUACAAAUGAAGACAAUAUAUUGAUUUUUAUUUUUGUAAACAGAUUAUGAAGCAGCAUCAGAUUUAAUGUAUCCAUUAGAAUGGAACCAUUUCCUUUUACUUUGUCGCACUGCCCUAGUAACAACCUGUUAAUCAGAUUACUUUGUAGAUCUAGUUCUAUUUUAAAUACAGAAAUGCAUAGAAAACAA
Long non-coding RNA from Ailuropoda melanoleuca (giant panda), 333 nucleotides. RefSeq lists it as uncharacterized. The transcript has 2 exons. The record is from RefSeq and is a predicted model, not a curated record. NCBI's taxonomy places the organism in Eukaryota, Metazoa, Chordata, Mammalia, Carnivora, Ursidae.